Bombyx mori (domestic silkworm) is the source of this 84-nucleotide non-coding RNA. The record is from Rfam. NCBI's taxonomy places the organism in Eukaryota, Metazoa, Arthropoda, Insecta, Lepidoptera, Bombycidae.
UUUGCUGAAAUUUGUAUGGAGUUGGAAACUUUGACUACGUUUGCCGCUAGGGGCGCUGUUCCAACUGCAUACAAAUUUGAGUUG